UACGGAGGUGGCAAGCGUUGUUCGGAAUUACUGGGCGUAAAGGGCUCGUAGGCGGCCAACUAAGUCAGACGUGAAAUCCCUAGGCUCAACCUAGGAACUGCGUCUGAUACUGGAUGGCUUGAAUCCGGGAGAGGGAUGCAGAAUUCCAGGUGUAGCGGUGAAAUGCGUAGAUAUCUGGAGGAAUACCGGUGGCGAAGGCGGCAUCCUGGACCGGCAUUGACGCUGAGGAGCGAAAGCCAGGGGAGCAAACGGG
Molecule: ribosomal RNA, 253 nt
Filed under: uncultured bacterium
Lineage: Bacteria
Description: partial 16S ribosomal RNA
Rfam family: Bacterial small subunit ribosomal RNA
Source: RNAcentral